UAAGCUUUGGUUGCCAUCUUCACAAUUGUUGAAGUCUGGGUAACUCCACGAUCUGUGGUCUGAUACUGAUCAGAAACUUAUGACUGGUGUCUAUUAAAUAGGACAGAGUCAAGGCCUAAAUUUUUACAGUUCUGGAGAGAAAUUACAAUUCUGCAUGGAGCAGACUCAAGAGAGAAUGAGGAACCAGGCACAUCAUGCAAGUCUACAGAAAUGCCCUUAAUUUUCAGCAACUAAAC
Molecule: long non-coding RNA, 236 nt
Filed under: Numida meleagris (helmeted guineafowl)
Lineage: Eukaryota; Metazoa; Chordata; Aves; Galliformes; Numididae
Description: lncRNA (ENSNMEG00000007575.1)
Source: RNAcentral